AUGCACGCGGAUCUGCUGGGUGGCUGCCUUGGGGGCUCCUGGGUCUGCGGUGGCGCGAGAUCCGCGCGACAAGAGGCGCUGGGAGGUCGCUUCGGGUUUGUCUGGCACGUGGAGGUUAGGCGUCAGGGUUCUGAGGGACUCGAAGUGGCCCGGCCCGAUCUGGGUUCUGGCAAGCCUGCGGCCAAUUUCUUGCUGCCCGGCGGCGUCUGGAUGGUGGGGGCUGUAGCGGUGCCGGCGGAGGUUGGUGGGUCCCUCCCUUCGAGCAUUUUCAUGUCCAGCUCUUGGAGCAGGGGCGCGUCAAGCCUGUCGGUGCAUGAAGAGUCUCGAGCAAACCAGAUCCAGCACGGAUGUCCGGUCCUUUGCACGCAGCGAUGUGGGCCCAUUAGUUUUUGUCUUGGUUUUCGCCCUGUUCUAACGCGGGCCGGUCUGUUCUGGUUCUGCAUCUGUUUUCCUGUUGCGUGCGGUGCGGUCUCUCGCCCACAUCUGCGCAUGGAGGCAGAGGAUGGCCAGAACCGACUUGGUUCGCCCAAGUCCUGCGUGCGGCGGUGCGAACCGGCCAGGGUGGCGUGUGCUCGCUGGCUUUCUGCAUGCGGCGGUGACAAUCUUCGUGUUUGGCAGUGUGUGCUUGGUCUUGCUCUGCCCAGUGGCGCUUGGUUGGUCCCGGAUCUUGGAUGGCUGGUAGAAGACUCGACUUCGGAUGAAAAUCCUGCAUUGACUCUGUCGAUGCCAAUGGUAAUGGCAUAUACGGAUGUCGUCUUCUUCCUUGGAGGUAUCCUUGUGGAGCUCGUUGCUCUUCCUACCCCAUGGCUGAGGUCUCCGGAUGAAAACCUAAGAUCUGGCUCCAUCGUCCUUGAUAUCACUUCCUCCUUGGAGGCGUCAUCUUGGAGACCUCGGCGAUGGAUUCCGAUGGUGUGCAUGGUUGCUGGAGGAGCUUGGGUUUGUGAUGGUGCCGGUAGGAUCCUUUUUUCUUUCUUUUCUUUUUGCACUAGCCUUUUUUCUGUGCUUUCCUCCUUUGGAGGGGCUCUUGUAACACCUUCUUCUAAUCAAUGA
This 1050-nucleotide ribosomal RNA is filed under the name Triticum aestivum (bread wheat). RNAcentral's name for it is "partial small subunit ribosomal RNA". The record is from RNAcentral. Lineage: Eukaryota; Viridiplantae; Streptophyta; Magnoliopsida; Poales; Poaceae.